RNAcentral lists this ribosomal RNA (257 nucleotides) under uncultured Gardnerella sp. RNAcentral describes it as "partial 16S ribosomal RNA". It matches the Rfam family "Bacterial small subunit ribosomal RNA", at positions 99 to 355 of the family's 1533-position model. The record is from RNAcentral. Lineage: Bacteria; Bacillati; Actinomycetota; Actinomycetes; Bifidobacteriales; Bifidobacteriaceae.
CGAACGGGUGAGUAAUGCGUGACCAACCUGCCCCAUGCUCCAGAAUAGCUCUUUGGAAACGGGUGGUAAUGCUGGAUGCUCCAACUUGACGCAUGUCUUGUUGGGAAAGUGUUUAGUGGCAUGGGAUGGGGUCGCGUCCUAUCAGCUUGUAGGCGGGGUAAUGGCCCACCUAGGCUUCGACGGGUAGCCGGCCUGAGAGGGCGGACGGCCACAUUGGGACUGAGAUACGGCCCAGACUCCUACGGGAGGCAGCAGCC